This 425-nucleotide ribosomal RNA is filed under the name uncultured Rhodoferax sp. RNAcentral describes it as "bacterial SSU rRNA". It matches the Rfam family "Bacterial small subunit ribosomal RNA", at positions 356 to 773 of the family's 1533-position model. Lineage: Bacteria; Pseudomonadati; Pseudomonadota; Betaproteobacteria; Burkholderiales; Comamonadaceae. The record is from RNAcentral.
GGGGAAUUUUGGACAAUGGGCGCAAGCCUGAUCCAGCCAUUCCGCGUGCAGGAUGAAGGCCCUCGGGUUGUAAACUGCUUUUGUACAGAACGAAAAGGUUUCUACUAAUACUAGGAGCUCAUGACGGUACUGUAAGAAUAAGCACCGGCUAACUACGUGCCAGCAGCCGCGGUAAUACGUAGGGUGCAAGCGUUAAUCGGAAUUACUGGGCGUAAAGCGUGCGCAGGCGGUUAUAUAAGUCAGAUGUGAAAUCCCCGGGCUCAACCUGGGAACUGCAUUUGAGACUGUAUAGCUAGAGUACGGCAGAGGGGGAUGGAAUUCCGCGUGUAGCAGUGAAAUGCGUAGAUAUGCGGAGGAACACCGAUGGCGAAGGCAAUCCCCUGGGCCUGUACUGACGCUCAUGCACGAAAGCGUGGGGAGCAAAC